UUGGUCAGCGCCUUCUCGAGACCGCUGUUAUGGAGGGGGGCUGACUCGUGGGGCCCCACAGCACAGAGCCAGAAGCCCAGAGCAGAGGCGAAAGGUUAUCGUUCUCUUCACAGCAGUCGCAACGGCGCGCAUGGCGGCGGCGGCGGCGGGGCUCCGCUGCUGCUUCCCCGGCUCCUCCGCGAUUGGUAGUGGCUUCGCGAAGCCCUCCUCCUCGGGGUGGGGCUGGUGCGCGGGGGCCGUAGCGGCGCCGUCGAGGGAGGCGGAGCCGGUCGCUUCGCUUGGGCAACGCACCCGCGUCGACUUCCCCAUCCUUCACCAGGAAUUUGAUGGUGCCAAAUUAGUUUACUUCGACAAUGGUGCAACAUCACAGAAACCUUCUAGUGUAAUGAAAACAUUAGAUGACUACUACCGAUCAUACAAUUCUAAUGUUCAUCGUGGUAUUCAUGCACUCAGCGCAAAGGCUACUGAUGCAUAUGAGAGCGCAAGAAGAAAAGUUGCAAAUUUUGUCAAUGCACCUAAUAGCAGAGAGAUCAUUUUCACUCGUAAUGCUACUGAAGCUAUCAAUUUGGUAGCUUAUUCAUGGGGCCUGUCUAACUUAAAACAAGGAGAUGAGAUUGUUCUUACAGUUGCGGAGCAUCAUAGUGCUAUUGUUCCAUGGCAAUUUGUUUCCCAGAAGACUGGUGCCACCUUGAAGUAUGUUGGGUUGACUAAAGAGGAGGUCCCAGAUAUUGAGCAAUUAAAAGGGCUUCUGUCAAACAAGACAAAGAUAGUUGUUGUCCAUCAUGUCUCAAACGUACUGGGUUCGAUGCUUCCUAUUGAGGAAAUUGUAACAUGGUCAAACAGAGUUGGAGCUAAAGUUCUUGUAGAUGCUUGUCAAAGUAUCCCCCAUAUGCCAGUUGAUGUUCAGAAACUUGGCGCAGACUUUCUUGUUGCGUCCUCGCACAAGAUGUGUGGCCCUACAGGCGUUGGAUUUUUGCAUGGAAAAAUUGACAUCUUGUCAUCUAUGGAGCCUUUCUUAGGCGGCGGUGAAAUGAUUGCAGAUGUGUUCCAAGAUAAGUCCACAUAUGCUGAGCCUCCCUCUAGAUUUGAGGCUGGAACUCCUGCAAUAGGAGAAGCUAUAGGAAUGGGAGCAGCAAUUGACUAUUUAACAUGCAUUGGCAUGGACCGGAUCCACGAAUAUGAGAAAGAGUUGGCGUCAUAUCUCUAUGAAAGCCUUAUUUCCGUUCCAAAUGUCCGGAUAUAUGGUCCAGCACCUUCCCAAACUGAUCACCGUGCUCCUUUAUGUUCCUUCAAUGUUGAGAAUAUUCAUCCCACAGAUAUUGCACAAAUUCUUGAUCUCCAGCAUGGUGUAGCAAUUCGGUCAGGGCAUCAUUGUGCUCAGAUUUUGCAUAGGACCCUUGGUAUCAAUGCAAGUGCCCGUGCAAGUCUUCACUUCUACAAUACAAAAGAGGAGGUGGAUGUCUUCGUUGAUGCUCUUAAAGCUACUAUUGAUGUCCUUACGUCCCAACACUAGUGCAGUGCAAUUUGCCCUAGGUUUUUGGUGUGCUUCUUGGGACCUCGGGGGUUGACAUACUUUGCUCAGAAAGUGACGGGUAAAAGAUAGUAAAAGAUUCAUACAGUCUGCAGAAGCAUACGAAAGAGAUUUGAGAAACCAAGGUAGCAUGGCAGAGUUGUGUAUACAAUAUCUGGUGAAUGUCCAUGUUUGGCAAGGCAGGGGGCGACUCGUCACAAGAAGGUUCUCAUUGAAGACUGAACUGCUAAAUUUGAGUGAAUAAAAAGUUACAUUUUUUUCUCCAGGAUCUCUACGAUGCAACAAGGACUCCCCUCGGAUGUCCAAAAUUGUAGCUUUAACAAUUUUCUGCCUGCCUCUCAUGAAUACGCCUCAAUGUAAGCAAAAUACCGAGUAUCUUCUUUCAAAUUUCAAACUAGACUAUAGAAAGAUAGAAACAA
Molecule: RNA transcript, 1950 nt
Organism: Panicum virgatum (switchgrass)
Lineage: Eukaryota; Viridiplantae; Streptophyta; Magnoliopsida; Poales; Poaceae
Gene name: cysteine desulfurase 1, chloroplastic-like
Exons: 12
Source: RefSeq, a predicted model, not a curated record